UGGAAGCCACCGCUCGUGGGACAUGCAAAGCUUAAUGUUGAUGCAGCAGUGGCAAAAAAUACAAACAAAGGAGCUGUGGGAGUUGUGUGUAGGGAUGAACAUGGAAAUUACCUGGGGGCUUCUGUGGUUGUUUUGGAAGGUUUGACAGAGCCUGAAACUUUGGAAGCGUUUGCGUGUCGAGAAGCUCAAGCUCUAGGUGAGGAUUGGCACCUCGCAAGAUCCAUAUCUCUACCGACUGUCUGA
RNAcentral lists this ribosomal RNA (243 nucleotides) under Triticum aestivum (bread wheat). Its description in RNAcentral is "partial small subunit ribosomal RNA". Lineage: Eukaryota; Viridiplantae; Streptophyta; Magnoliopsida; Poales; Poaceae. The record is from RNAcentral.